This is a long non-coding RNA of Oreochromis niloticus (Nile tilapia), 460 nucleotides long. RefSeq lists it as uncharacterized. The record is from RefSeq and is a predicted model, not a curated record. NCBI's taxonomy places the organism in Eukaryota, Metazoa, Chordata, Actinopteri, Cichliformes, Cichlidae. The transcript has 3 exons.
CCACCUCCCUCCACCCCCAUCCUGACUUUCACCCCUUCAUCUUGCCCUGAGAGCUGAGGUGUCAAUCAUUCUGUUGCCGGUUGCUCUGGUGAAUCUCUGACCCCGCCCCUCCUCCUCCUCGCGCUGCCAGAUUACGCCCUCGUAUGUCAGUCAAGAACGUCUGCCCUGACGAUUGGACGAGCCCUGGCUGCCCUGUAUUAGUAAUAAACCUUUGGUUUAUCUAAUACAGGCUGUUGAAUUGUUGACUACACUUUGAGCGGAAGCUAAGCGGGCUGUGAGGACGGUAAUACACAAGAACAGACAAGAAAGACUGAGAGCACUGCAGCAGGACGACAUACAUGGAACGCCACAGAAACAUCUCUGCCGAAUACGGCCUGGAAGUCCCAAGGUCAAAAUGGGAGACGCCCCCUGGGGUGGUGGAGAAUGACCGAGCUAAGAUCCUGUGGGACUUCCAGAUACA